Molecule: ribosomal RNA, 429 nt
Filed under: Acidobacteriota bacterium
Lineage: Bacteria; Pseudomonadati; Acidobacteriota
Description: Acidobacteria bacterium partial 16S ribosomal RNA
Rfam family: Bacterial small subunit ribosomal RNA
Source: RNAcentral
UGGGGAAUUUUGGACAAUGGGGGAAACCCUGAUCCAGCCAUCCCGCGUGUGCGAUGAAGGCCUUCGGGUUGUAAAGCACUUUUGGCAGGAAAGAAACGUCAUGGGUUAAUACCCCGUGAAACUGACGGUACCUGCAGAAUAAGCACCGGCUAACUACGUGCCAGCAGCCGCGGUAAUACGUAGGGUGCAAGCGUUAAUCGGAAUUACUGGGCGUAAAGCGUGCGCAGGCGGUUCGGAAAGAAAGAUGUGAAAUCCCAGAGCUCAACUUUGGAACUGCAUUUUUAACUAACGGGCUAGAGUGUGUCAGAGGGAGGUGGAAUUCCGCGUGUAGCAGUGAAAUGCGUAGAUAUGCGGAGGAACACCGAUGGCGAAGGCAGCCUCCUGGGAUAACACUGACGCUCAUGCACGAAAGCGUGGGGAGCAAACAGG